CCUACGGGAGACUGCAGUGGGGAAUAUUGGACAAUGGGGGCAACCCUGAUCCAGCCAUGCCGCGUGUGUGAAGAAGGCCCUCGGGUUGUAAAGCACUUUCAGUGAGGAAGAACGCCUGGUGGUUAAUACCCAUCAGGAAAGACAUCACUCACAGAAGAAGCACCGGCUAACUCCGUGCCAGCAGCCGCGGUAAUACGGAGGGUGCGAGCGUUAAUCGGAAUUACUGGGCGUAAAGCGCGCGUAGGUGGCUUGAUAAGCCGGUUGUGAAAGCCCCGGGCUCAACCUGGGAACGGCAUCCGGAACUGUCAAGCUAGAGUGCAGGAGAGGAAGGUAGAAUUCCCGGUGUAGCGGUGAAAUGCGUAGAGAUCGGGAGGAAUACCAGUGGCGAAGGCGGCCUUCUGGACUGACACUGACACUGAGGUGCGAAAGCGUGGGUAGCAAACAGGAUUAGAUACCCGAGUAGUC
RNAcentral lists this ribosomal RNA (465 nucleotides) under Vreelandella stevensii. RNAcentral describes it as "partial 16S ribosomal RNA". It matches the Rfam family "Bacterial small subunit ribosomal RNA", at positions 338 to 795 of the family's 1533-position model. Lineage: Bacteria; Pseudomonadati; Pseudomonadota; Gammaproteobacteria; Oceanospirillales; Halomonadaceae. The record is from RNAcentral.